UGUAGGUAGACUUGCCCAACGUGCACUAGUACUCUUUCUCCAGCCAGAUGCCCACAGACUUACGGGCCCUAUGUGCUGAUAUAUAAUUGUGCCUGGAAUUGGUUCACUCCAGUGGGUUCUUUGUCUCACUAACUUCAAGAAUGAAGCCGUGGACCCUCACAGGCAGGGGCCCUGUCAUUCCCAUCUGCACAUACAGACUCCGGGUCAGCUUUGUCUUCUGACCCACUCACCUUGAUUCAGCAAGUGCCUGGCCAUCCUCAUUACGCUUGUCUUACUUCAGUGGUGGGUUGGGACAUCGCUAACACCAAUCAGUUCGUGUUUCAUCUGAGUCUUCUCUCAAUUCCAUUCUGCCAAAAGCCACCCAUACAGGUCACAGAAAAUAAAAGCAAGAAGGCACGCCCAGAAGGUGGGCAAUGCCCAUGAUAGUUUUUACAACAACUGCUACAGAAUAAAGAUGAUGAAUUGUGUAUUGAAUGGAAACAUAUCAUUGAAUUGUCUUUUGACAAAAUAAAAUCUUGAUCCAAA
Long non-coding RNA from Pongo pygmaeus (Bornean orangutan), 525 nucleotides. RefSeq lists it as uncharacterized. NCBI's taxonomy places the organism in Eukaryota, Metazoa, Chordata, Mammalia, Primates, Hominidae. The transcript is spliced from 2 exons. The record is from RefSeq and is a predicted model, not a curated record.